CACCCCUAACCAUUCCCUUUCAGCUCACCCACGCAGGCUUCCUCUAAGCAUACUGAGCUGCCAGGGACGGACAGGGGAGGGGAAUAGAGAGCAUAAUUGCUUUCUUUACUCAGCUUGUAGACAGGCAGACAGUUUAGGCAGAGAGACACAGAAGAACACUUGGAGAGAUUGAGAGGAGGCACAAAAUAAAGAAAGAGAUAAGUAAGAUAAAAGGGAAACAAAUCACCAACAGCAAAAAAAAUGGAUCCCAACAAGAUGCCAAACGCCCCACCACCAGGCUGGAACCCAGAUGAGAAGUCUGGGAUGGGACAACCAGCUCCUCCACCCUACCAGGACCACCCCAACGCAGGAUACCCCGCACCAGCAGGCUACCCUCCCAAUCCCCAGGGCUACGCACCACCGCCACAGUAUGGAGGAGCUCCCGGGGCCCCUUACAGCCAGCCAUACCCCCAGGGACAGUACUCCCCGGGACACUACCCCCAGUCCACCGUCACAGUCCAGCCUACGGUGUUUGUGACCCGUGGAGCUCUGCCUUACCCUCUGCCAGACUACCUUGGCUACUCCAUUUUCACCAUGCUGUGCUGCUGCCUGCCACUUGGCAUCGCUGCACUUAUCUACUCCAUCUCGACUAGAGACGCCAACAACCAGGGUCAUCAGCAGAUUGCUGAGAAGAAUUCUCGUCUAGCGCGGAUACUGAACCACACCGCUCUGGGUAUCGGCAUCACCGUCAUCGUCCUGUACAUCGUCUCUGCCAUCAUCCUGGGCAACCGUAUCAACUGAUCUGACACCUCAACACCGGCUAGCACCACAGCCACCGCUUCUCUCAACCCCAGCACCCAAAAUCAUCAUAACCUUGACCACAUACAAUAGACUAGAGACGCCAACAACCAGGGUCAUCAGCAGAUUGCUGAGAAGAAUUCUCGUCUAGCGCGGAUACUGAACCACACCGCUCUGGGUAUCGGCAUCACCGUCAUCGUCCUGUACAUCGUCUCUGCCAUCAUCCUGGGCAACCGUAUCGACUGAUCUGACACCUCAACACCGGCUAGCACCACAGCCACCGCUUCUCUCAACCCCAGCACCCAAAAUCAUCAUAACCUUGACCACAUACAAUAGGUGACAGGCACUUUCCAAAGAGAUACAUCCCACUGGGGACACACUGGUUGAAUCAACGUUGUUUCCACGUCAUUUCAAUGAAAUGGCGUUGAACCAACGUGGAAUAUACGUUGAAUUGAUGCCUGUGCCCUGUGGGAUAUAUCAUAAUGCUGUUUAUUCAUCAAUGUUUAUGACAUACAUUUUGAAAAACUACAUCUAAUGACUUACUUUUUUUUAAUACCGGCAGACCGGAUAGUUUAAAUCAUUCAUUAUUUUGCCUGUUUAAUUGUAUAUGUAAUAUACAUAAAUAAACACCAAAUUAUGGACACAAAUUGUAUUUUGGAAUAUUUCUAAUACAUUUCUGAAGGAUAGUGUAUGUACAUUCAGUGUUUAUGGAUAAGUCAUAUCAGAGUUUAAAGACCGAUUUGACAAUGUUAUGAGAAUGCAGCAGAAAGAGACUAUUCUUAAAGUCUGAAAUGACAUGUAUUACUGGUUGUCAUUACACAGAGUGCCAGUGAGGUUACCACUCACAAGAGUAAACAUUUUACAACUCAAUGUCAAAUAUUUACUUCUUGUUACACGUGUAACAAUUUCCUCAAUUCAGUGUUCUUUGCUGUCGGCAAUGACACAAGCAAUAUCUAAUUCAACUUAUUUCUGACAACUGUGGAGACUAAGGCCUACAUUCAAUCUGUAGCAUGGAAGGUCCGUUGUAUAGCACGAUUGAAAUUUAAAGGUAAUUUCCGAUUGACUCAACAUAUCCAACAUUUACCGUGAAUGCAGUCUCCUCGAACGCAGGAACAUUUCUUUUUUUCCUUUUGGUACGGAUUGAAUCUAGCUCUAGAAGUCAAAAGGAAUUGCCACACUGUUCCUGUUUGGCCUUUCAGUUGAUUCAUUUGAUAAAAAUGUCCCCACUAUCAAUGUCAUUUAUAGUCACAUAUUGUCAGAUUAUGUAUAACGCUGUAUAGACAUAUAUUUUAUUUUACUAUAUAUUCAGUGAUGCUCAACUUUUCUAUCUACCUCUUCAAUUUUAUCCUUCUCUAAAGUAUGUAGUUGAUGGAAAAAAAUGUUUUUUGUUUGUGAAAACACAAAAGAAGAGGCCAUUAUCAGAAUACAGAUUUGUAAACCAAAAUAUUUUUAAAUAAAGCUCA
This is a long non-coding RNA of Oncorhynchus tshawytscha (Chinook salmon), 2240 nucleotides long. The record is from Ensembl. Lineage: Eukaryota; Metazoa; Chordata; Actinopteri; Salmoniformes; Salmonidae.